GCCGCCGUGGUGGAAUUGGUAGACACGCUGCUCCUAGGAAGCAGUGCUAAAGGCAUCUCGGUUCGAAUCCGAGCGGCGGCA
Molecule: transfer RNA, 81 nt
Filed under: Selaginella sanguinolenta
Lineage: Eukaryota; Viridiplantae; Streptophyta; Lycopodiopsida; Selaginellales; Selaginellaceae
Description: tRNA-Leu
Rfam family: tRNA
About the family: Transfer RNA (tRNA) molecules are approximately 80 nucleotides in length. Their secondary structure includes four short double-helical elements and three loops (D, anti-codon, and T loops).
Source: RNAcentral